UACGUAGGUCCCGAGCGUUAUCCGGAUUUAUUGGGCGUAAAGCGAGCGCAGGUGGUUUAUUAAGUCUGGUGUAAAGGGCAGUGGCUCAACCAUUGUAUGCAUUGGAAACUGGUAGACUUGAGUGCAGGAGAGGAGAGUGGAAUUCCAUGUGUAGCGGUGAAAUGCGUAGAUAUAUGGAGGAACACCGGUGGCGAAAGCGGCUCUCUGGCCUGUAACUGACACUGAGGCUCGAAAGCGUGGGGAGCAAACAGG
This 252-nucleotide ribosomal RNA is filed under the name uncultured bacterium. Its description in RNAcentral is "partial 16S ribosomal RNA". It matches the Rfam family "Bacterial small subunit ribosomal RNA", at positions 524 to 776 of the family's 1533-position model. The record is from RNAcentral.